This 786-nucleotide ribosomal RNA is filed under the name Microbacterium sp. Its description in RNAcentral is "bacterial SSU rRNA". It matches the Rfam family "Bacterial small subunit ribosomal RNA", at positions 107 to 903 of the family's 1533-position model. The record is from RNAcentral. Lineage: Bacteria; Bacillati; Actinomycetota; Actinomycetes; Micrococcales; Microbacteriaceae.
UGAGUAACACGUGAGCAACCUGCCCCUGACUCUGGGAUAACAGCCGGAAACGGCUGCUAAUACCGGAUAUGCACCAUGAACGCAUGUUCUGUGGUGGGAAAGAUUUUUCGGUUGGGGAUGGGCUCGCGGCCUAUCAGCUUGUUGGUGAGGUAAUGGCUCACCAAGGCGUCGACGGGUAGCCGGCCUGAGAGGGUGACCGGCCACACUGGGACUGAGACACGGCCCAGACUCCUACGGGAGGCAGCAGUGGGGAAUAUUGCACAAUGGGCGAAAGCCUGAUGCAGCAACGCCGCGUGAGGGAUGACGGCCUUCGGGUUGUAAACCUCUUUUAGCAGGGAAGAAGCGAGAGUGACGGUACCUGCAGAAAAAGCGCCGGCUAACUACGUGCCAGCAGCCGCGGUAAUACGUAGGGCGCAAGCGUUAUCCGGAAUUAUUGGGCGUAAAGAGCUCGUAGGCGGUUUGUCGCGUCUGCUGUGAAAACUGGAGGCUCAACCUCCAGCCUGCAGUGGGUACGGGCAGACUAGAGUGCGGUAGGGGAGAUUGGAAUUCCUGGUGUAGCGGUGGAAUGCGCAGAUAUCAGGAGGAACACCGAUGGCGAAGGCAGAUCUCUGGGCCGUAACUGACGCUGAGGAGCGAAAGGGUGGGGAGCGAACAGGCUUAGAUACCCUGGUAGUCCACCCCGUAAACGUUGGGAACUAGUUGUGGGGGCCUUUCCACGGUCUCCGUGACGCAGCUAACGCAUUAAGUUCCCCGCCUGGGGAGUACGGGCCGCAAGGCUAAAACUCA